This 1731-nucleotide ribosomal RNA is filed under the name Triticum aestivum (bread wheat). RNAcentral's name for it is "partial small subunit ribosomal RNA". Lineage: Eukaryota; Viridiplantae; Streptophyta; Magnoliopsida; Poales; Poaceae. The record is from RNAcentral.
AUGACCAAGCACCACCAGCACCUGGGUUUAAGCUUCCGCCAUGGCGCCGAGGAGGAGCGGUGGGUGGACGACUCCUCCGUCGACCACCGCGGCCGCCCGCCCCUCCGCGCCGCCACCGGCUCCUGGAAGGCCGCCAUGUUCAUCAUCCUGAUCGAGUUCAGCGAGCGGCUGAGCUAUUUCGGCAUCGCCACCAGCCUCAUGAUCUACCUCACCAAGGUGCUGCACCAGGACAUGAAGGUCGCCGCCGAGAACUCAAACUACUGGAUGAGCGUCACCACGCUCAUGCCGCUCCUCGGGGGAUUCCUCGCCGACUCAUACCUCGGCCGCUUCCGCACCGUCCUCUACUCCACCGUCGUCUACCUCCUUGGCCUCGUCCUGCUGGCCGUGGCGCAGCUGACGCCGGGUCUCAGGCCGGCCGGCGGCUCGGUGCCCCGGAUCCACGAGACGCUCUUCUUCGUCGGGAUCUACCUCGUGUCCGUCGGCACCGGCGGCCACAAGCCGGCGCUCGAGAGCUUCGGCGGUGACCAGUUCGACGACGGCCACACCGGGGAGCGGCUGCAGAAGAUGUCUUAUUUUAACUGGUGGAACUGCGCGCUCUGCUCCGGGGUCCUGCUCGGGGUCACCGUCGUCGUGUAUGUCCAGGAGCGUGUCGGAUGGGGCGCCGCCACGGUGCUGCUCGCUGCAGUCAUGGGGUGCUCCCUCGUGGUGUACCUCGCGGGGUGGCGGACGUACCGGUACAGGGUGCCGCAGGGCAGCCCGCUCACGCCGAUGCUGCGGGUCGUCGUGGCCGCCGUCAGGAAGCGGCGCCUUCGGCUGCCAACCGACGUCGGCGAGCUGCACGAGGAGGACGGCGGCAAGAAGAGGCUGCUCUGCCACACCGACCAGCUCCGGUGUCUCGACAAGGCGGCAAUCGUGGAGCAUGAUGGCGAGGGGCGGCGCGGGGCGUGGCGGCUGGCCACGUUGACGCAGGUGGAGGAGACGAAGCUGGUGGUGUCGAUGGUGCCCAUCUGGGUGGCCACGCUCCCGUUCGGCAUCACGACGGCGCAGGUGUCCACCUUCUUCGUCAAGCAGGGCAGCGUGAUGGACCGGCGCAUGGGCGCCCACUUCGUGCUCCCGCCGGCGUCCAUCUUCGCGCUGGCCGCCGUCGCCAUGAUCGCCACCGUGGCGCUCUACGACAAGGUGCUGGAGCCGUGCCUGCGCCGCGUGACUGGGACGGAGCGCGGGCUCAGCGUCCUUCGUCGCAUCGGCGUCGGCAUGGCGCUGGCCGUGGUGGCCAUGGCCGUGGCCGCGGUCGUCGAGCGUCGCCGGCUGCACUCCACCGCCACCAUGUCGGUGUUCUGGCUGGUGCCGCAGUUCGCGCUGAUGGGCGUGGCCGACGGGUUCGCGCUGGUGGGCCUGCAGGAGUACUUCUACGACCAGGUGCCCGACAGCAUGCGCAGCCUGGGCAUCGGGCUGUACCUGAGCGUGAUCGGCGCCGGGAGCUUCCUGAGCAGCCUGGUGAUCGCGGCGGCGGACCACGUGAGCUCGCACGGCGGGCGGCGGGACGGGUGGUUCGGCAAGGACCUGAGCCGGAGCAGGCUGGACCUCUUCUACUGGCUGCUGGCCGCCAUCUCCGCCGUCAACCUGGGCUUCUACGUGCUCGUCGCCGCCCGGUACUCGUACAAGCAGACCGUCAAGGCCAAGAGGGUGAGCGCCAGCGACGUCGAGUGCGCCACCGCCGUCGCCGCAUAG